RNAcentral lists this transfer RNA (100 nucleotides) under Bradyrhizobium ottawaense. RNAcentral describes it as "tRNA-Ala". The record is from RNAcentral. Lineage: Bacteria; Pseudomonadati; Pseudomonadota; Alphaproteobacteria; Hyphomicrobiales; Nitrobacteraceae.
CUGGAGGGCGGUGAGCUGGUGGACGUGACGGCGGGAUAGCGCCCCGCUGGAUCAGUCAUUCCAUUGCAGGAGCGGCGUUCCAUACGCCCUCCUCCAGACC